UACAGAGGUCCCAAGCGUUGUUCGGAUUCACUGGGCGUAAAGGGCUCGUAGGCGGCCGGCUAAGUCCGACGUGAAAUCCCCAGGCUUAACCUGGGAACUGCGUCGGAUACUGGCGGGCUUGAAUCCGGGAGAGGGAUGCGGAAUUCCAGGUGUAGCGGUGAAAUGCGUAGAUAUCUGGAGGAACACCGGUGGCGAAGGCGGCAUCCUGGACCGGCAUUGACGCUGAAUAGCGAAAGCCAGGGGAGCAAACGGG
This 253-nucleotide ribosomal RNA is filed under the name uncultured bacterium. Its description in RNAcentral is "partial 16S ribosomal RNA". It matches the Rfam family "Bacterial small subunit ribosomal RNA", at positions 524 to 776 of the family's 1533-position model. The record is from RNAcentral.